AUUUCUCGGCCUUUUGGUUAAGGUAAAAUGUAAUAUUUGUUGUUGUCAGUUUAAUAACUGAUUUAUAGACCAUAUGUUCACUUUGAUAUUAAAAUUAUUUUUUAUGGAUAUUAAAUAUGAGUGGGUGCCGUCGCAACGCAUAGGUAUUGGACUAGUAUAGCAUUAGAAGUAAGUUUUAACAACCCAUG
Zea mays is the source of this 188-nucleotide non-coding RNA. NCBI's taxonomy places the organism in Eukaryota, Viridiplantae, Streptophyta, Magnoliopsida, Poales, Poaceae. The record is from Rfam.